This 617-nucleotide ribosomal RNA is filed under the name uncultured bacterium. RNAcentral describes it as "bacterial SSU rRNA". The stretch from base 1 to 532 matches the Rfam family "Bacterial small subunit ribosomal RNA", at positions 338 to 873 of the family's 1533-position model. The record is from RNAcentral.
CCUACGGGAGGCAGCAGUGGGGAAUAUUGGACAAUGGGCGAAAGCCUGAUCCAGCAAUGCCGCGUGAGUGAUGAAGGCCUUAGGGUUGUAAAGCUCUUUUACCCGGGAUGAUAAUGACAGUACCGGGAGAAUAAGCUCCGGCUAACUCCGUGCCAGCAGCCGCGGUAAUACGGAGGGAGCUAGCGUUAUUCGGAAUUACUGGGCGUAAAGCGCACGUAGGCGGCUUUGUAAGUAAGAGGUGAAAGCCUGGUGCUCAACACCAGAACUGCCUUUUAGACUGCAUCGCUUGAAUCCAGGAGAGGUGAGUGGAAUUCCGAGUGUAGAGGUGAAAUUCGUAGAUAUUCGGAAGAACACCAGUGGCGAAGGCGGCUCACUGGACUGGUAUUGACGCUGAGGUGCGAAAGCGUGGGGAGCAAACGAGGUAUUAGACUACCCGUGGUACGUCCACGACCGUAAACGAUGACUAACUAGCUGGUCGGGGCUCUUAGUAGUCGUCGGUGGUCGCGAGCGUACGACAUUAAGUUAGUCCGUCCGUCGGGAGGUACGGCCGCGACGUAAACGUAACGUAAGUAAGUUAGACGUCGUUGAGAGNGCGACGGCGACGACGAGGGAGGAGG